AGCAGCCGCGGUAAUUCCAGCUCCAAUAGCGUAUAUUAAAGUUGUUGCAGUUAAAAAGCUCGUAGUUGAAUUUCGGGAUUUGUCAGUUGGUCGGGCUUCACUGUCCGUAUUGACUUGAUGGAUUCUUACCUUCUGAAUAACCAGCAUGCUAUUAAGUUAGUGCGUUGGGGAAGCAGAUCUAUUACCUUGAAAAAAUUGAGUGCUUAAAGCGAGCUAGUGCUUGAAUAGAUUAGCAUGGAAUAAUAAAAUAGGACGGCAUGGUUCUAUUUUGUUGGUUUCUAGGAUCACCGUAAUGAUUAAUAGGGAUAGUUGGGGGCAUUAGUAUUCAAUUGUCAGAGGUGAAAUUCUUGGAUUUAUGAAGACUAACUUCUGCGAAAGCAUUUGCCAAGGAUGUUUUCAUUAAUCAAGAACGAAAGUUAGGGGAUCGAAGACGAUCAGAUACCGUCGUAGUCUUAACCAUAAACUAUGCCGACUAGGAAUCGGACGAUGUUAAUUUUAUAAUUGACUUCGUCGG
Molecule: ribosomal RNA, 514 nt
Filed under: uncultured Acaulospora
Lineage: Eukaryota; Fungi; Glomeromycota; Glomeromycetes; Diversisporales; Acaulosporaceae
Description: SSU rRNA
Rfam family: Eukaryotic small subunit ribosomal RNA
Source: RNAcentral